CUCAGUAACGGCGAGUGAAGCGGCAAGAGCUCAAAUUUGAAAGCUGGCUCCUUCGGAGUCCGCAUUGUAAUUUGCAGAGGAUGCUUUGGGUGCGGCCCCCGUCUAAGUGCCCUGGAACGGGCCGUCAGAGAGGGUGAGAAUCCCGUCUUGGGCGGGGUGUCCGUGCCCGUGUAAAGCUCCUUCGACGAGUCGAGUUGUUUGGGAAUGCAGCUCUAAAUGGGUGGUAAAUUUCAUCUAAAGCUAAAUACUGGCCGGAGACCGAUAGCGCACAAGUAGAGUGAUCGAAAGAUGAAAAGCACUUUGAAAAGAGAGUUAAACAGCACGUGAAAUUGUUGAAAGGGAAGCGCUUGCAACCAGACUCGCCCGCGGGGUUCAGCCGGCAUUCGUGCCGGUGUACUUCCCCGUGGGCGGGCCAGCGUCGGUUUGGGCGGCCGGUCAAAGGCCCCUGGAAUGUAGUGCCCUCCGGGGCACCUUAUAGCCAGGGGUGCAAUGCGGCCAGCCUAGACCGAGGAACGCGCUUCGGCUCGGACGCUGGCAUAAUGGUUGUAAACGACCCGUCUUGAAACACGGACCAAGGAGUCUAACAUCUACGCGAGUGUUCGGGUGUCAACCCGUGCGCGCAGUGAAAGCGAACGGAGUGGGAGCCCCCUCGUGGGGCGCACCAUCGACGAUCUGAUGUCUUCGAUGGAUUUGAGUAAGAGCGUAAUGUGGGGACCGAAAGAUGGU
Molecule: non-coding RNA, 726 nt
Filed under: Aspergillus carbonarius ITEM 5010
Lineage: Eukaryota; Fungi; Ascomycota; Eurotiomycetes; Eurotiales; Aspergillaceae
Description: Eukaryotic large subunit ribosomal RNA
Rfam family: Eukaryotic large subunit ribosomal RNA
Source: Rfam by way of RNAcentral